UAGCGUUAAGGGCAAACCUGUCUAAAGACAGGGACGCAAAGCCAUAGGGUCUAAAGUGCUCGAUGAACUAUGACAGCCGGUUGCCGCA
Molecule: non-coding RNA, 88 nt
Filed under: Anaerovirgula multivorans
Lineage: Bacteria; Bacillati; Bacillota; Clostridia; Peptostreptococcales; Natronincolaceae
Description: c-di-GMP-I riboswitch aptamer
Rfam family: c-di-GMP-I riboswitch aptamer
About the family: GEMM was predicted in a large-scale screen for bacterial structured RNA regulatory elements. Genes associated with GEMM are involved in a diverse array of functions, including chemotaxis regulation, signal transduction, secretion and chitin.
Source: Rfam by way of RNAcentral